AAAGAGCUCGUAGGCGGCUUGUCACGUCGGUUGUGAAAGCCCGGGGCUUAACCCCGGGUUUGCAGUCGAUACGGGCAGGCUAGAGUUCGGUAGGGGAGAUCGGAAUUCCUGGUGUAGCGGUGAAAUGCGCAGAUAUCAGGAGGAACACCGGUGGCGAAGGCGGAUCUCUGGGCCGAUACUGACGCUGAGGAGCGAAAGCGUGGGGAGCGAACAGGAUUAGAUACCCUUUUAGUCCACGCCGUAAACGGUGGGCACUAGGUGUGGGCGACAUUCCACGUCGUCCGUGCCGCAGCUAACGCAUUAAGUGCCCCGGCUGGGGAGUACGGCCGCAAGGCUAAAACUCAAAAGAAUAGGCGGGGGCCCGCACAAGCGGCGGAGCAUGUGGCUUAAUUCUACGCUACGCGAAGAACCUUACCAAGGCUUGACAUACACCGGAAACGUCCAGAGAUGGGCGCCCCCUUGUCGUCGGUGUACAGGUGGUGCAUGGUUGUCGUCAGCUCGUGUCGUGAGAUGUUGGGUUAAGUCCCGGAACGAGCGCAACCCUUGUCCCGUGUUGCCAGCAAGCCCUUCGGGGUGUUGGGGACUCACGGGAGACCGCCGGGGUCAACUUACAGGAAGGUGGGGACGACUUCAAGUCAUCAUGCCCCUUAUGUCUUGGGCUGCACACGUGCUACAAUGGCCGGUACAAUGAGCUGCGAUACCGCGAGGUGGAGCGAAUCUCAAAAA
This 726-nucleotide ribosomal RNA is filed under the name Streptomyces albogriseolus. RNAcentral's name for it is "bacterial SSU rRNA". It matches the Rfam family "Bacterial small subunit ribosomal RNA", at positions 562 to 1280 of the family's 1533-position model. Lineage: Bacteria; Bacillati; Actinomycetota; Actinomycetes; Kitasatosporales; Streptomycetaceae. The record is from RNAcentral.